UACUACAACACCUCACCCAGGCUACACCAGACGUAUCCUAGUCCUAAAUGUGAAUACCGCAGGAGAGGAGGACUGUCCGGGCUGCCUCUCUUCUGAUAAGCAUCCUAUGGUAUUCUGUACAAGUCAAGAUGGCGGUGUCGGCAACG
Oncorhynchus kisutch (coho salmon) is the source of this 146-nucleotide long non-coding RNA. RefSeq lists it as uncharacterized. The record is from RefSeq and is a predicted model, not a curated record. NCBI's taxonomy places the organism in Eukaryota, Metazoa, Chordata, Actinopteri, Salmoniformes, Salmonidae. The transcript has 2 exons.